GGGAAUGUAGCUCAGUUGGUUAGAGCGCUAAAAUCUCUGUGUUAAUUAUUUGCCCUCCACUGUGGGUUGCAUUAUAUACAGUUACUUCGACUUGUAAUCGAGAGGCGUUGGUUCGAGUCCAACCAGUCCCACCA
This 134-nucleotide transfer RNA is filed under the name Saprospiraceae bacterium. RNAcentral's name for it is "tRNA-OTHER". It matches the Rfam family "tRNA". Rfam says of the family: Transfer RNA (tRNA) molecules are approximately 80 nucleotides in length. Their secondary structure includes four short double-helical elements and three loops (D, anti-codon, and T loops). The record is from RNAcentral. Lineage: Bacteria; Pseudomonadati; Bacteroidota; Saprospiria; Saprospirales; Saprospiraceae.